This 70-nucleotide non-coding RNA is filed under the name Vannielia litorea. RNAcentral describes it as "Oceanicola litoreus Singlet oxygen resistance RNA X". It matches the Rfam family "Singlet oxygen resistance RNA X". From Rfam's summary of the family: SorX (RSs2461)like SorY is a singlet oxygen induced sRNA that counteracts oxidative stress by targeting mRNA for a transporter in Rhodobacter. It also has an impact on resistance against organic hydroperoxides. It targets SD sequence of potA mRNA via an aSD sequence. The record is from Rfam by way of RNAcentral. Lineage: Bacteria; Pseudomonadati; Pseudomonadota; Alphaproteobacteria; Rhodobacterales; Paracoccaceae.
AUCCCCCGUGGCCGGGGUUACGGCCACACCUCCCUGUUGGACUGGCCCGGGUUUGCGCCCGGGCCUUUUU